RNAcentral lists this long non-coding RNA (1166 nucleotides) under Nicotiana benthamiana. RNAcentral's name for it is "long non-coding RNA (NBEN_LNC014035)". Lineage: Eukaryota; Viridiplantae; Streptophyta; Magnoliopsida; Solanales; Solanaceae. The record is from RNAcentral.
GAUAGAAGCAAGAAAAUAUAAGGACAAGAACUGAUUAUUUUUCAACAGAACAAAAUAUGUUCACUCUGAAAUGGAAGCACUAAAUUUCAAAUUGCUAACUCAAAACAACAAAAUAUCCAACAAGCAAAGAAAUUAUGCACCCAAAGAAAAGGAGCUGGAUAAUUAAGUUUUAAAAAGUACUAUUUAUUCUUCACUUGAAUCAAGCUGCUUUGAAUUCACAUAAUGAGUAAAGUUAAAGAAAAUUUACAACCUUUGGGCCACUGUGCAAUAAUCUUUUCUUUAAGAGUAUCAACUCUGGUGUUAGGCAUAUACUUGUUGGGUCCAAUAUCACUGCCAUCAGCAAGCCUGAAUUUGAUCUCAAUCAACUCUUUUGCAGCCAUCUCUCUAUAUCAAUCUCUCACAAUGAUCAAAUAUGAUCCACCACACAAAUCAAUUCCACUUCAAAGAACAAUCAUGAGGUCAAAAAAUCCAACAAAUCAAAUUAAUGAAAGACUCAAUUUUGGCCAAGACCCACUACAAACUUCUCACAACCAGACCCCAAUCCAAGAAAAUAUCAAUAAUAAACUUUUUGAUUCACCCCCUUUCUUCAAAAUCUAGAAAUAACUCUUUUGCAGCCAUCUCUCUACAUCAAUCUCUCACAACGAUCAAAUAUAAUCCACCACACAAAUCAAUUCCCACUUCAAAGAACAAUCAUGGGGUCAAAAAUUCCAAGAAAAUCCAACAAAUCAAAUGCUUAGAUUAAUAAAAGACUCAAUUUUGGCCAAGACCCACUAUAAACUUCUCACAACCAGACCCAAAUCCAAGAAAAUAUCAAUAAUAAACUUUUUGAUUCACCCCCUUUUUCAAAAUCUAGGAAAAAACCCAAAUAGCAAUUCACUAAAAAGCUUGCAACAAAGUGGUUGAUUUCAGAAAAGGAGCAGAUUUUAUGGGAAAAAGUUUCAAGAAAUGAAUAUUUGGAAAAUGAAGAAUAGAGUGAAAAGAAGAUGAAUGAAUCAAAACCAAGGCGUCAGCUGAAAGAGUGAGAAACUUGUUUGUUUCGUUGGUGCUAUAUAUAAAUUGCUUGAUGGUGAAAGAAAGAUAGAAAACGAAAAAGAAUCAAAUUGGAAAGUUUAAAAUGUAAGAUUAUUUAACUAAUGAUUUGGAAAGCGAAACUUGUUCCUUCGUCG